This 492-nucleotide ribosomal RNA is filed under the name uncultured bacterium. RNAcentral's name for it is "partial 16S ribosomal RNA". It matches the Rfam family "Bacterial small subunit ribosomal RNA", at positions 29 to 507 of the family's 1533-position model. The record is from RNAcentral.
AGUGAACGCUGGCGGUAGGCCUAACACAUGCAAGUCGAACGGCAGCACAGUAAGAGCUUGCUCUUACGGGUGGCGAGUGGCGGACGGGUGAGGAAUACAUCGGAAUCUACUUUUUCGUGGGGGAUAACGUAGGGAAACUUACGCUAAUACCGCAUACGACCUACGGGUGAAAGCAGGGGAUCUUCGGACCUUGCGCGAUUGAAUGAGCCGAUGUCGGAUUAGCUAGUUGGCGGGGUAAAGGCCCACCAAGGCGACGAUCCGUAGCUGGUCUGAGAGGAUGAUCGGCCACACUGGAGCUGGGACACGGUCCAGACUCCUACGGGAGGCAGCAGUGGGGAAUAUUGGACAAUGGGCGCAAGCCUGGUCCAGCCAUACCGCGUGGGUGAAGAAGGCCUUCGGGUUGUAAAGCCCUUUUGUUGGGAAAGAAAAGCAGCAGGUUAAUACCCCGCUGUUCUGACGGUACCCAAAGAAUAAGCACCGGCUAACUUCGUG